AAUUUCCCUUCUUCUUUUUUUAGGAGCUCUGCAGAUUCUGGCCUCUAGGUGCACGACCGCCAAACUUCCAGCUGGAGCCUCUUCUUGUUGAUCAGUGCGGGCUCGGUUUUCUUCAGCAGUAAAUUCGGCGUCCAUCGCGUCGUCCAGUUCCCUUUCCAGUCGCUGUUGAAGGGUGUUCAUUCCCUCCUCUAGCAGCUGCUCGGGAGUAGGCGGAGGGAGCUCAUGCGGUUCGAGUGGAGUCAUUAUUAGCCUCUGUAUGUAUUCUGGUUCAAAGCGGAUUCUUUCUGCCAUUUCUAGCCGAGUUGUUUCUCCAUUUUUCAGCAUCCGAGCAACGUGAUUGACCCAGCAUAUGGAUGGUCUCUCCUGUGGGAUUCCGAGGGCUAUACGUCGUUCUUGCUCCAGGCGUUUUCGCUGAUCAGAUGCCUCCUUGGCUCGGGCCUCAUUAGACAGACGCUGCUGUUCAAGUGCAAUCUGCUCACGGU
RNAcentral lists this long non-coding RNA (482 nucleotides) under Drosophila guanche. The record is from RNAcentral. Lineage: Eukaryota; Metazoa; Arthropoda; Insecta; Diptera; Drosophilidae.